CCUACGGGAGGCAGCAGUGAGGAAUAUUGGUCAAUGGACGCAAGUCUGAACCAGCCAUGCCGCGUGCAGGAAGACGGCUCUAUGAGUUGUAAACUGCUUUUGUACGAGGGUAAACGCAGAUACGCGUAUCUGUCUGAAAGUAUCGUACGAAUAAGGAUCGGCUAACUCCGUGCCAGCAGCCGCGGUAAUACGGAGGAUUCAAGCGUUAUCCGGAUUUAUUGGGGUUAAAGGGUGCGUAGGCGGUCGUAUAAGUUAGCGGUUAAAUCCCGAGGCUCAACUUCGGAAUUGCCUGUGAUACUGUUCGGCUAGAGUGUAGUAGCGGUAGGCGGAAUGUGUGGUGUAGCGGUGAAAUGCUUAGAGAUCAUACAGAACACCGAUUGCGAAGGCAGCUUACCAAUCUAUAUCUGACGUUGAGGCACGAAAGCGUGGGGAGCAAACAGGAUUAGAUACCCUUGUAGUC
Molecule: ribosomal RNA, 460 nt
Filed under: uncultured bacterium
Lineage: Bacteria
Description: partial 16S ribosomal RNA
Rfam family: Bacterial small subunit ribosomal RNA
Source: RNAcentral